UACGGAGGGGGCUAGCGUUGUUCGGAUUUACUGGGCGUAAAGGGCGCGUAGGCGGCGCGGUAAGUCACUUGUGAAAUCUCUGAGCUUAACUCAGAACGGCCAAGUGAUACUGCAGUGCUAGAGUGCAGAAAGGGCAAUCGGAAUUCUUGGUGUAGCGGUGAAAUGCGUAGAUAUCAAGAGGAACACCUGAGGCGAAGGCGGGUUGCUAGGCUGACACUGACGCUGAGGCGCGAAAGCCAGGGGAGCAAACGGG
Molecule: ribosomal RNA, 253 nt
Filed under: uncultured bacterium
Lineage: Bacteria
Description: partial 16S ribosomal RNA
Rfam family: Bacterial small subunit ribosomal RNA
Source: RNAcentral